Molecule: ribosomal RNA, 1014 nt
Filed under: Bembidion perspicuum
Lineage: Eukaryota; Metazoa; Arthropoda; Insecta; Coleoptera; Carabidae
Description: eukaryotic LSU rRNA
Rfam family: Eukaryotic large subunit ribosomal RNA
Source: RNAcentral
CCUUAGUAGCGGCGAGCGAACAGGGAGAAGCCCAGCACUGAAGCCCGUGGUCGGAAACGGCUACUGGGCAAUGUAGUGUUUGGGAGAGCCCGUCUAACCCGAGUAUUGUUAGCGUGUCCAAGUCCUUCUUGAAGGGGGCCACUCGCCCGUAGUGGGUGCCAGGCCCGUAGUGACCGUUGAUAUGUUCGGGUGGGUUUCUCCUUAGAGUCGGGUUGCUUGAGAGUGCAGCUCUAAGUGGGUGGUAAACUCCAUCUAAGGCUAAAUAUUACCACGAGACCGAUAGCGAACAAGUACCGUGAGGGAAAGUUGAAAAGAACUUUGAAGAGAGAGUUCAAGAGUACGUGAAACCGUUCAGGGGUAAACCUGAGAAACCCGAAAAUUCGAACGGGGAGAUUCAAUUGCUUUACCGGUGGUGUUCAAUAGUGCAGUAUUUGGGACGCAUAUGGUUUGCAGUUUCGGCUGUAUAUCUGUAUACGCUCUGCUGUCUGUUGUGUAUUCAUUGUCGGAGGCAUGCACUUCUCCCCUUGUAGGACGUCGUGACCCGUUGAGCAUUACGCCAUCUACGGCCCGUGGUGGAGCCCGAAUAUAAUUUAUUAUAGUCGGACCCAUGGUGACCUGAUGGCUGCCCGACGGUAUUAGCACAGGUAAUGGGUCGCUGUCGCUUCGCGCGGCGAGCGUUAUGGUUUUAUGGCAAGUCACUGUAUGUUUGUGGAAAUCGGACCUAGUGCCGGUUCUGCGCAUAUGGUACUGUUCGCUGUACGAUCCUCUGACCGUCCCCGUUACCAGUCGGCGACGCUUCAGUUUUGGGUAAUCUCAGGACCCGUCUUGAAACACGGACCAAGGAGUCUAGCAUGUGCGCGAGUCAUUGGGAUAAAAUUCCUAAAGGCGUAAUGAAAGUAAAUGUUUACCUUGUGUGAACAGAGGGAAGAUGGGUGGCGCAUUGACGCUGCCUCGCACUCCCGGGGCGUCGCGCACUCAUUGCGAGGUGCGGCGCACCAAGAGCGUACACGCUGG